This 73-nucleotide transfer RNA is filed under the name Zea mays. It matches the Rfam family "tRNA". From Rfam's summary of the family: Transfer RNA (tRNA) molecules are approximately 80 nucleotides in length. Their secondary structure includes four short double-helical elements and three loops (D, anti-codon, and T loops). Further hydrogen bonds mediate the characteristic L-shaped molecular structure. tRNAs have two regions of fundamental functional importance: the anti-codon, which is responsible for specific mRNA codon recognition, and the 3' end, to which the tRNAs corresponding amino acid is attached (by aminoacyl-tRNA synthetases). tRNAs cope with the degeneracy of the genetic code in two manners: having more than one tRNA (with a specific anti-codon) for a particular amino acid; and 'wobble' base-pairing, i.e. permitting non-standard base-pairing at the 3rd anti-codon position. Lineage: Eukaryota; Viridiplantae; Streptophyta; Magnoliopsida; Poales; Poaceae. The record is from Rfam by way of RNAcentral.
GCUUGUCUAGCUCAGUUGGUAGAGCGCAAGGCUCGUAACCUUAAGGUCGUGGGUUCGAGCCCCAUCGUGAACA